UAUCUUUGCCCAUCAUUUGUGUACAUAAUAAUCAUUUAAAUAAAUAUUGGCAUG
RNAcentral lists this non-coding RNA (54 nucleotides) under unclassified sequences. RNAcentral describes it as "S15-Flavobacteria ribosomal protein leader". It matches the Rfam family "S15-Flavobacteria ribosomal protein leader". The record is from RNAcentral.